AAAUAGUUUUGUGAGACAUUUCUUCCCUUCACUAUCUCUGUUUUGUCUGGGAUAGUGACACAGUUGUUUCUAUGUGUAAUAGUUCUUCCAACCUGGAACUAACAAUUUGCUAACAUUACCAUUCUGUAGAAUGCCUUCUUGAUAAUUCAUGCAGAGAAAGAUCGGGAAGAGGACAUUUGAGCUCACAGUGACUUUCAGGGUCUGUGGCUUCCUUUCUUGGCUAGUGACAUGAAGAAUGGUCUUCAGAGGAGAUGCCUGCUGUUUGCACUGACAACAGUAGAGUCUCCUGCCUUCACAAAAGAGUAGGCUGAAAUUAGGAUUAUAGUCCAUAAUGUCUGCUCCACCGCUUCCCUCAUGAAGUCUCUCUUUUGGAGUGUCAUCUACAGCGUUCUUUUGAGAUGUCAUAUUUCUGCUUGACUCGCAGAGCAGCAGUGAAGAUGAUUCUUCUUUCUCUCUGCAUCCUGGCAGGUGGCUGUGUUCUCUUUCUCCAUUUCAACACAAUGCUGUGAAUUUCCACUCCGCACUGUGCCUCUGUAAGUUUCCAGCUUCAUUCCACAUGGUUGAAUCCCAGUCACUCACAAAGAAAGGUUC
RNAcentral lists this long non-coding RNA (591 nucleotides) under Parus major (Great Tit). Its description in RNAcentral is "lncRNA (ENSPMJG00000002640.1)". Lineage: Eukaryota; Metazoa; Chordata; Aves; Passeriformes; Paridae. The record is from RNAcentral.